AUGGAUAAUGUCCUAUACUACUUACUCUCCCGCUCAAUCACGGAGACGAGUUUUCCACGGUUUCCACCCCUCCCUCCAUACCGCAACAACACGAGUUUUUUCCACCUCUUCCAGAACGCGCUCUUCGCGCCACAAAGCCGCCCCAAGACGCGCGAGCAAUGAGCAUCGAGCUUAAACAUAUCACAAACGUCAAAAAUAAUAUAACGGGAUUAAUAUAUAUCGCGCACGUGCGAUAUGUUUGUCACAAGGUGCAAAAAAUAAUUAAAAAGGGAAUGCAACACGAGGACUUCCCAGGAGGUCACCCAUCCUAGUACUACUCUCGCCCAAGCACGCUUAACUUCGAAGUUCUGAUGUGAUCCGGUGCUUUAGUGCUGGUAUGAUCGCAUCCGACAUGUUUCCCCGUCUUCGUCCCUUAUGCUUGCCACUCCCAGGUGCGCUCCAAAGACGAUUCUACAUUCUCACUACCAUUACAACUGUUCCCUAACAAUGGAUAAUGUCCUAUACUACUUACUCUCCUGCUCAAUCGGAGAAGAGUUUUCCACGGUUUCCACCCCUCCCUCCAUACCGCAGCAACACGAGUUUUUUCCACCCCUUUCAGAACGCGCUCUUCGCGCCACAAAGCUGCCCCAAGACGCGCGAGCAAUGAGCAUCGUGUUGGAAAUAUGCCCUAGAGGCAAUAAUAAAAGCAUUAUUAUUAUAUUUCCUUGUUCAUGAUAAUUGUCUUUAUUCAUGCUAUAAUUGUGUUAUCCGGAAAUCGUAAUACAUGUGUGAAUAACAGACACCAACAUGUCCCUAGUGAGCCUCUAGUUGACUAGCUCGUUGAUCAACAGAUAGUCAUGGUUUCCUGACUAUGGACACUGGAUGUCAUUGAUAACGAGAUCACAUCAUUGGGAGAAUGAUGUGAUGGACAAGACCCAAUCCUAAACAUAGCACAAGAUCGUAUAGUUCGUUUGCUAGAGUUUUCCAAUGUCAAAGUAUCUUUUCCUUAGACCAUGAGAUCGUGUAACUCCCGGAUACCGUAGGAGUGCUUUGGGUAUGCCAAACGUCACAACGUAACUGGGUGACUAUAAAGGUAGACUACGGGUAUCUCCAAAAGUGUCUGUUGGGUGACAUGGAUCAAGACUGGGAUUUGUCACUCCGUAUGACGGAGAGGUAUCACUGGGCCCACUCGGUAAUGCAUCAUCAUAAUGAGCUCAGAGUGACCAAGUGUCUGGUCACGGGAUCAUGCAUUACGGUACGAGUAAAGUGACUUGCUGGUAACGAGAUUGAACGAGGUAUUGGGAUACCGACGAUCGAAUCUCGGGCAAGUAACAUAUCGAUAGACAAAGGGAAUAGCGUACGGGAUUGAUUAAAUCCUCGACAUCGUGGUUCAUCCGAUGAGAUCAUCGUGGAGCAUGUGGGAGCCAACAUGGGUAUCCAGAUCCCGCUGUUGGUUAUUGACCGGAGAGUCGUCUCGGUCAUGUCUGCUUGUCUCCCGAACCCGUAGGGUCUACACACUUAAGGUUCGGUGAUGCUGGGGUUAUGAAGAUAUGUAUAUGCGAAUGUUGUUCGGAGUCCCGGAUGAGAUCCCGGACGUCACGAGGAGUUCCGGAAUGGUCCGGAGGUAAAGAAUUAUAUAUAGGAAGUGCUAUUUCGGGCAUCGGGACAAGUUUCGGGGUUAUCGGUAUUGUACCGGGACCACCGGAAGGGUCCCGGGGGUCCACCGGGUGGGGCCACCUGUCCCGGGGGGGCCACAUGGGCUGUAGGGGGUGCGCCUUGGCCUAGAUGGGCCAAGGGCACCAGCCCCUAUAGGCCCAUGCGCCUAGGGUUUCCACCAUGGAAGAGUCCAUGUGGUGGAAGGCACCCCUAGGUGCCUUGGGGGGGAGGGAAACCUCCCCUUGGCCGCCGCCCCCCCUAGUAGAUGCCAUCUACUAGGGCCGGCGCCCCCCUGGCACCCCUAUAUAUAGUGGGGGAGAGGAGGGAUUUCAGACCAGCCCCUGGCGCCUCCAUCUCCCCCCGUUACGUCUCUCCCUCGUAGUCUCGGCGAAGCCCUGCUGCUGUGACGCCCUGCAUCCACCACCACGCCGUCGUGCUGCUGGAUCUUCAUCAACCUCUCCUUCCCCCUUGCUGGAUCAAGAAGGAGGAGACGUCUCCCGUCCCGUACGUGUGUUGAACGCGGAGGUGCCGUCCGUUCGGCGCUGGUCAUCGGUGAUUUGGAUCACGUCGAGUACGACUACAUCAUCACCGUUCUUUUGAACGCUUCCGUGCACGAUCUACAAAGGUAUGUAGAUGCAUCUAAUCACUCGUUGCUAGAUGAACUCCUAGAUGAUCUUGGUGAAACGAGUAGGAAAAUUUUUGUUUUCUGCAACGUUCCCCAACAGUGGCAUCAUGAGCUAGGUCUAUGCGUAGUUCUUCUUGCGCGAGUAGAACACAAUUUGUUGUGGGCGUAGAUUUGUCAACUUUCUUGCCGUUACUAGUCCUUUCUUGCUUCAGCGGUAUUGUGGGAUGAAGCGGCCCGGACCAACCUUACACAUACGCUUACGUGAGACCGGUUCCACCGACUAACAUGCACUAGUUGCAUAAGGUGGCUGGCGGGUGUCUGUCUCUCCUACUUUAGUUGGAGCGGAAUCGAUGAACAGGGUCCUUAUGAAGGGUAAAUAGAAGUUGACAAAUCACGUUGUGGCUUUAACGUAGGUAAGAAAACGUUCUUGCUAGAACCCUAAUUCAGCCACGUAAAACUUGCAACAACAAUUAGAGGACGUCUAACUUGUUUUUGCAGCAAGUGGUUUGUGAUAUGAUAUGGCCAAAGUUGUGAUGAAUGAUGAAUGAUCUAUAUGUGAUGUAUGAGAUGUUCAUGCUAUUGUAAUAGGAAUCACGACUUGCAUGUCGAUGAGUAUGACAACCGGCAGGAGCCAUAGGAGUUGUCUUUAUUCUUUUAUAUGACUUGCGUGUCAUCAAGAAACGCCAUGUAAAUUACUUUACUUUAUUGCUAAACGCGUUAGCCAUAGUAGUAGAAGUAAUAGUUGGCGAGCAACUUCAUGGAGACACGAUGAUGGAGAUCAUGAUGAUGGAGAUCAUGGUGUCAAGCCGGUGACAAGAUGAUCAUGGAGCCCCAAGAUGGAGAUCAAAGGAGCUAUGUGAUAUUGGCCAUAUCAUGUCACGUUUAUUAUUUGAUUGCAUGUGAUGUUUAUCAUGUUUUGCAUCUUGUUUAUUUAGAACGACGGUAGUAAAUAAGGUGAUCCCUCAUACUAAUUUCAAGAAGUGUUCCCCCUAACUGUGCACCGUUGUGACAGUUCGCUGUUUCAAAACACCACAUGAUGAUCGGGUGUUUUAUUCAGACGUUCACAUACAACGGGUGUAAGACAGAUUUACACAUGCAAACACUUAGGUUGACUUGACGAGCCUAGCAUGUACAGACAUGGCCUCGGAACACAGAAGACCGAAAGGUCGAGCAUGAGUCGUAUAGAAGAUAUGAUCAACAUGAAGAUGUUCACCGAUGUUGACUAGUCCGUCUCACAUGAUGAUCGGACACGGUCUAGUUUAACUCGGAUCAUGUAAUACUUAGAUGACUAGAGGGAUGUCUAAUCUAAGUGGGAGUUCAUUAAUAAUUUGAUUAGUUGAACUUAAUUAUCAUGAACUUAGUCUAAAUAUUUUACAAUAUGUCUUGUAGAUUAAAUGGCCAACGUAGUCCUCAACUUCAACGCGUUCCUAGAGAAAACCAAGCUGAAAGACGAUGGCAGCAACUAUACGGACUGGGUCCGGAACCUGAGGAUCAUCCUCAUAGCUGCCAAGAAAGAUUAUGUCCUACAAGCACCGCUUGGUGACGCACCCGUUCUCCCUGUAGAACAAGAUGUUAUGAACGCUUGGCAGGCACAUUCCGAUGACUACUCCCUCGUUCAGUGCGGCAUGCUUUACAGCCUAGAGCCGGGGCUCCAAAAGCGUUUUGAGAGACAUGGAGCAUAUGAGAUGUUCGAAGAGCUGAAAAUGGUUUUCCAAGCUCAUGCCCGGGUCGAGAGAUAUGAAGUCUCCGACAAAUUCUUCAGCUGUAAGAUGGAGGAAAACAGUUCUGUCAGUGAGCACAUACUCACUAUGUCUGGGUUGCAUAACCGCUUGACUCAGCUGGGAGUUAAUCUCCCGGAUGAUGCGGUCAUUGACAGAAUCCUCCAGUCGCUUCCACCAAGCUACAAGAGCUUUGUGAUGAACUUCAAUAUGCAGGGGAUGGAAAAGACCAUUCCUGAAGUAUUUGCUAUGCUGAAAUCAGCAGAGGUAGAAGUCAGGAAGGAACAUCAAGUGUUGAUGGUCAAUAAAACCACUAAGUUCAAGAAAGGCAAGGGUAAAAAGAACUUCAAGAAGGACGGCAAGGAGGUUGCCGCGCCCGGCAAGCAAGCUGCCGGGAAGAAGCCAAAGAAUGGACCCAAGCCCGAGACUGAGUGCUUUUAUUGCAAGGGAAGCGGUCACUGGAAGCGGAACUGCCCUAAGUACUUAGCGGAUAAGAAGGCCGGCAAAACAAAAGGUAUAUGUGAUAUACAUGUAAUUGAUGUGUACCUUACUAGUGCCCGUAGUAGCUCCUGGGUAUUUGAUACCGGUGCAGUUGCUCACAUUUGUAACUCAAAGCAGGGGCUGCGGAAUAAGCGGAAACUGGCAAAGGACGAGGUGACGAUGCGCGUCGAGAAUGGUCCCAAGGUCAAUGUGGUCGCCGUCGGCACGCUACCUCUGCAUCUCCCUUCAGGAUUAGUUUUAAACCUUAAUAAUUGUUAUUUAGUGCCAGCUUUGAGCAUGAACAUUGUAUCGGGAUCUCGUUUAAUUCGAGAUGGCUACUCUUUUAAAUCUGAGAAUAAUGGUUGUUCCAUUUUUAUGAGAGAUAUGUUUUAUGGUCAUGCUCCUAUGGUGAAUGGUUUAUUCUUUAUGAAUCUCGAACGUGAUGCUACACAUGUUCAUAAUGUGAGUACCAAAAGAAGUAAGGUUGAUAAUGAUAGUCCCACGUACCUGUGGCACUGCCGCCUUGGUCACAUAGAGGUCAAACGCAUGAAGAAGCUCCAUGCUGAUGGACUUUUAGAGUCUCUUGAUUAUGAAUCAUUUGACACAUGCGAACCAUGCCUUAUGGGUAAAAUGACCAAGACUCCGUUCUCAGGAACAAUGGAGCGAGCAAACGACUUAUUGGAAAUCAUACAUACUGAUGUGUGCGGUCCAAUGAGUGUUGAGGCUCGCGGUGGCUAUUGUUAUGUUCUCACCCUCACUGAUGAUUUAAGUAGGUAUGGGUAUAUCUACUUAAUGAAACACAAGUCUGAAACCUUUGAAAAGUUCAAGGAAUUUCAGAGUGAGGUUGAAAAUCAACGUGACAGGAAAAUCAAGUUUCUACGAUCAGAUCGUGGAGGAGAAUACUUGAGUCACGAGUUUGGCACACACUUAAGAAAAUGUGGAAUAGUUUCACAACUCACGCCGCCUGGAACACCUCAGCGUAAUGGUGUGUCCGAACGUCGUAAUCGCACUCUAUUAGAUAUGGUGCGAUCUAUGAUGUCUCUUACCGAUUUACCGCUAUCCUUUUGGGGCUAUGCUUUAGAGACUGCUGCAUUCACUUUAAAUAGGGCACCGUCGAAAUCCGUUGAGACGACACCGUAUGAAUUGUGGUUUGGGAAGAAACCUAAGCUGUCGUUUCUAAAAGUUUGGGGAUGCGAUGCUUAUGUCAAGAAACUUCAACCUGAAAAGCUCGAACCCAAGUCGGAAAAAUGCGUCUUCAUAGGAUACCCAAAAGAAACUAUUGGGUACACCUUCUACCUCAGAUCCGAAGGCAAGAUCUUUGUUGCCAAGAAUGGGUCCUUUCUGGAGAAAGAGUUUCUCUCGAAAGAAGUAAGUGGGAGGAAAGUAGAGCUUGAUGAAGUAUUACCUCUUGAACCGGAAAAUGGCGCAACUCAAGAAAAUGUUCCUGAGGUGCCUGCACCGACUAGAGAGGAAGUUAAUGAUCAAGAUACUUCUGAUCAAGCCCCUACUGAAAUUCGAAGGUCCACAAGGACACGUUCCGCACCAGAGUGGUACGACAACCCUGUCUUGGAAAUCAUGCUGUUAGACAACGGUGAACCUUCGAACUAUGAAGAAGCGAUGGCGGGCCCGGAUUCCGACAAAUGGCUAGAAGCCAUGAAAUCCGAGAUAGGAUCCAUGUAUGAAAACAAAGUAUGGACUUUGACUGACUUGCCCGUUGAGCGGCGAGCCAUAGAAAAUAAAUGGAUCUUUAAGAGGAAGACAGACGCGGAUGGUAAUGUGACCAUCUAUAAAGCUCGGCUUGUCGCUAAGGGUUAUCGACAAGUUCAAGGGGUUGACUACGAUGAGACUUUCUCACCGGUAGCGAAGCUGAAGUCCGUUCGAAUCAUGUUAGCAAUUGCCGCAUUCUAUGAUUACGAAAUAUGGCAAAUGGACGUCAAAACGGCAUUCCUUAAUGGUUUCCUUAAGGAAGAAUUGUAUAUGAUGCAGCCGGAAGGUUUUGUCGAUCCUGAGAAUGCUGACAAAGUGUGCAAGCUCCAACGCUCGAUUUAUGGGCUGGUGCAAGCAUCUCGGAGUUGGAACAUUCGCUUUGAUGAGAUGAUCAAAGCGUUUGGGUUUACACAGACUUAUGGAGAAGCCUGCGUUUACAAGAAAGUGAGUGGGAGCUCUGUAGCAUUUCUCAUAUUAUAUGUAGAUGACAUACUUUUGAUGGGAAAUGAUAUAGAACUCUUGGACAGCAUCAAGGCCUACUUGAAUAAAAGUUUUUCAAUGAAGGACCUUGGAGAAGCUGCUUAUAUAUUAGGCAUCAAAAUCUAUAGAGAUAGAUCGAGACGCCUCAUAGGUCUUUCACAAAGCACAUACCUUGAUAAAAUAUUGAAGAAGUUCAAUAUGGAUCAAUCCAAGAAGGGGUUCUUGCCUGUGUUACAAGGUAUGAAAUUGAGCUCAGCUCAAUGUCCGACCACGGCAGAAGAUAUAGAAGAGAUGAGCGUCAUCCCCUAUGCCUCAGCCAUAGGUUCUAUUAUGUAUGCCAUGCUGUGUACCAGACCUGAUGUUAACCUUGCCAUCAGUUUGGUAGGAAGGUACCAAAGUAAUCCCGGCAAGGAACACUGGACAGCGGUCAAGAAUAUCCUGAAGUACCUGAAAAGGACUAAGGAAAUGUUUCUUGUUUAUGGAGGUGACGAAGAGCUCGUCGUAAAGGGUUACGUCGACGCUAGCUUCGACACAGAUCUGGAUGACUCUAAGUCACAAACCGGAUACGUGUAUAUUUUGAAUGGUGGGGCAGUAAGCUGGUGCAGUUGCAAGCAAAGCGUCGUGGCGGGAUCUACAUGUGAAGCGGAGUACAUGGCAGCCUCGGAGGCAGCACAUGAAGCAAUAUGGGUGAAGGAGUUCAUCACCGACCUAGGAGUCAUACCCAAUGCGUCGGGGCCGAUCAAGCUCUUCUGUGACAACACUGGAGCUAUUGCACUUGCCAAGGAGCCCAGGUUUCACAAGAAGACAAGGCACAUCAAGCGUCGCUUCAACUCCAUUCGUGAAAAUGUUCAAGAUGGAGACAUAGAGAUUUGUAAAGUACAUACGGACCUGAAUAUACCAGAUCCGUUGACUAAACCUCUCCCUAGAGCAAAACAUGAUCAACACCAGAAUUCCAUGGGUGUUCGAUUCAUCACAAUGUAACUAGAUUAUUGACUCUAGUGCAAGUGGGAGACUGUUGGAAAUAUGCCCUAGAGGCAAUAAUAAAAGCAUUAUUAUUAUAUUUCCUUGUUCAUGAUAAUUGUCUUUAUUCAUGCUAUAAUUGUGUUAUCCGGAAAUCGUAAUACAUGUGUGAAUAACAGACACCAACAUGUCCCUAGUGAGCCUCUAGUUGACUAGCUCGUUGAUCAACAGAUAGUCAUGGUUUCCUGACUAUGGACACUGGAUGUCAUUGAUAACGAGAUCACAUCAUUGGGAGAAUGAUGUGAUGGACAAGACCCAAUCCUAAACAUAGCACAAGAUCGUAUAGUCCGUUUGCUAGAGUUUUCCAAUGUCAAAGUAUCUUUUCCUUAGACCAUGAGAUCGUGUAACUCCCGGAUACCGUAGCAGUGCUUUGGGUAUGCCAAACGUCACAACAUAACUGGGUGACUAUAAAGGUAGACUAUGGGUAUCUCCGAAACUGUCUGUUGGGUGACAUGGAUCAAGACUGGGAUUUGUCACUCCGUAUGACGGAGAGGUAUCACUGGGCCCACUCGGUAAUGCAUCAUCAUAAUGAGCUCAGAGUGACCAAGUGUCUGGUCACGGGAUCAUGCAUUACGGUACGAGUAAAGUGACUUGCCAGUAACGAGAUUGAACGAGGUAUUGGGACACCGACGAUCGAAUCUCGGGCAAGUAACAUAUCGAUAGACAAAGGGAAUAAUGUACGGGAUUGAUUAAAUCCUCGACAUCGUGGUUCAUCCGAUGAAGAUCAUCGUGGAGCAUGUGGGAGCCAACAUGGGUAUCCAGAUCCCGCUGUUGGUUAUUGACCGGAGAGUCGUCUCGGUCAUGUCUGCUUGUCUCCCGAACCCGUAGGGUCUACACACUUAAGGUUCGGUGACGCUAGGGUUAUGAAGAUAUGUAUAUGCAGAAACCCGAAUGUUGUUCGGAGUCCCGGAUGAGAUCCCGGACGUCACGAGGAGUUCCGGAAUGGUCCGUAGGUAAAGAAUUAUAUAUAGGAAGUGCUAUUUCGGGCAUCGGGACAAGUUUCGGGGUUAUCGGUAUUGUACGGGGACCACCGGAAGGGUCCCGGGGGUCCACCGGGUGGGGCCACCUGUCCCGGGGGGCCACAUGGGCUGUAGGGGGUGCGCCUUGGCCUAGAUGGGCCAAGGGAACCAGCCCCUAUAGGCCCAUGCGCCUAGGGUUUCCACCAUGGAAGAGUCCAUGUGGUGGAAGGCACCCCUAGGUGCCUUGGGGGGGAGGGAAACCUCCCCUUGGCCGCCGCCCCCGUUAGUAGAUCUCAUCUACUAGGGCCGGCGCCCCCCUGGCACCCCUAUAUAUAGUGGGGGGGAGAGGAGGGAUUUCACACCAGCCCCUGGCGCCUCCAUCUCCCCCCGUUACGUCUCUCCCUCGUAGUCUCGGCGAAGCCCUGCUGCUGUGACGCCCUGCAUCCACCACCACGCCGUCGUGCUGCUGGAUCUUCAUCAACCUCUCCUUCCCCCUUGCUGGAUCAAGAAGGAGGAGACGUCUCCCGUCCCGUACGUGUGUUGAACGCGGAGGUGCCGUCUGUUCGGCGCUGGUCAUCGGUGAUUUGAAUCACGUCGAGUACGACUACAUCAUCACCGUUCUUUUGAACGCUUCCGUGCGCGAUCUACAAAGGUAUGUAGAUGCAUCUAAUCACUCGUUGCUAGAUGAACUCCUAGAUGAUCUUGGUGAAACGAGCAGGAAAGUUUUUGUUUUCUGCAACGUUCCCCAACACAUCGAGCUUAAACAUAUCGCAAACGUAAAAACAAUAUAACGGGAUUAAUAUAUAUUGCGCACGUGCGAUAUGUUUGUCACAAGGCGCAAAAAAUAAUUAAAAAGGGGAUGCAACACGAGGACUUCCCAAGAGGUCACCCAUCCUAGUACUACUCUCGCCCAAGCACGCUUCACUUCGGAGUUCUGAUGGGAUCCGGUGCUUUAGUGCUGGUAUGAUCGCAUCCGACAUAUUUCCCCUUCUUCGUCCCUUAUGCUUGCCACUCCCAUGUCCUCCCCAAAGACGAUUCUACAUUCUCACUACCAUUACAAUCGUUCCCUAACAAUGGAUAAUGUCCUAUACUACUUACUCUCCCGCUCAAUCACGGAGACGAGUUUUCCACGGUUUCCACCCCUCCCUCCAUACCGCAGCAACACGAGUUUUUUCCACCCCUUGCAGAACGCGCUCUUCGCGCCACAAAGCCGCCCCAAGACGCGCGAGCAAUGAGCAUCGAGCUUAAACAUAUCGCAAACGUCAAAAAUAAUAUAACGGGAUUAAUAUAUAUCGCGCAUGUGCGAUAUGUUUGUCACAAGGCGUAAAAAUAAUUAAAAAGGGAAUGCAACACGAGGACUUCCCAGGAGGUCACCCAUCCUGGUACUACUCUCGCCCAAGCACGCUUAACUUCGGAGUUCUGGUGGGAUCCGUUGCUUUACUGCUGGUAUGAUUGCAUCCGAGAUGUUUCCCCGUCUUCGUCCCUUAUGCUUGCCACUCCCAGGUCCGCUCCAAAGACGAUUAUGCAUUCUCACUACCAUUACAACCGUUCCCUAACAAUGGAUAAUGUCCUAUACUACUUACUCUCCCGCUCAAUCACGGAGACGAGUUUUCCACGGUUUCCACCCCUCCCUCCAUACCGCAGCAACACGAGUUUUUUCCACCUCUUUCAGAAUGCGCUCUUCGCGCCACAAAGCCGCCCCAAGACGCGCGAGCAAUGAGCAUCGAGCUUAAACAUAUCGCAAACGUCAAAAAUAAUAUAACGAGAUUAAUAUAUAUCGCGCACGUGCGAUAUGUUUGUCACAAGGCGCAAAAAAUAAUUAAAAAGGGAAUGCAACACGAGGACUUCCUAGGAGGUCACCCAUCCUAGUACUACUCUCGCCCAAGCACGCUUAACUUCAAAGUUCUGAUGGGAUCCGGUGCUUUAGUGCUGGUAUGAUCCCAUCCGACAUGUUUCCCCGUCUUCGUCCCUUAUGCUUGCCACUCCCAGGUCCGCUCCAAGGAUGAUUCUACAUUCUCACUACCAUUACAACCGUUCCCUAACAAUGGAUAAUAUCCUAUACUACUUACUCUCCCGCUCAAUCACGGAGACGAGUUUUCCACGGUUUCCACCCCUCCCUCCAUACCGCAGCAACACAAAUUUUUUCCACCCCUUUCAGAACGCGCUCUUCGCGCCACAAAGCCGCCCCAAGACGCGCGGGCAAUGAGCAUCGAGCUUAAACAUAUCGCAAACGUCAAAAACAAUAUAACGGGAUUAAUAUAUAUCGCGCACGUGUGAUAUGUUUGUCACAAGGCGCAAAAAAUAAUUAAAAAGGGAAUGCAACACGAGGACUUCCCAAGAGGUCACCCAUCCUAGUACUACUCUCUCCCAAGCACGCUUAACUACGGAGUUUUGAUGGGAUCCGGUGCUUUAGUGCUGGUAUGAUCACAUCUGACAUGUUUCCCCGUUUUCGUCCCUUAUGCUUGCCACUCCCAGGUCCGCUCCAAAGACGAUUCUACAUUCUCACUACCAUUACAACCGUUCCCUAACAAUGGAUAAUGUCCUAUACUACUUACUCUCGCGCUCAAUCACGGAGACGGGUUUUCCACGGUUUCCACCCCUACCUCCAUACCGCAGCAACACGAGUUUUUUCCACCCCUUUCAGAACACGCUCUUCGCGCCACAAAGCCGCCUCAAGACGCGCGAGAAAUGAGCAUCGAGCUUAAACAUAUCGCAAACGUCAAAAAUAAUAUAACGGGAUUAAUAUAUAUCGCGCAUGUGCGAUAUGUUUGUCACAAGGCGCAAAAAAUUAUUAAAAAGGGAAUGCAACACGAGGACUUCCCAGGAGGUCACCCAUGCUAGUACUACUCUCGCCCAAGCACGCUUAACUUCGGAGUUCUGAUGGGAUCCAGUGCUUUAGUGCUGGUAUGAUCGCAUCCGACAUGUUUCCCCGUCUUCGUCCCUUAUGCUUGCCAUUCCCAGGUCCGCUCCAAAGACGAUUCUACAUUCUCACUACCAUUACAACCGUUACCUAACAAUGGAUAAUGUCUUAUACUACUUACUCUCCCGCUCAAUCACGGAGACGAGUUUUCCACGGUUUCCACCCCUCCCUCCAUACCGCAGCAACACGAGUUUUUUCCACCCCUUUCAGAACGCACUCUUCGCGCCACAAAGCCACCCAAGACGCGCGAGCAAUGAGCAUCGAGCUUAAACAUAUCGCAAACGUCAAAAAUAAUAUAACGGGAUUAAUAUAUAUCGCGCACGUGCGAUAUGUUUGUCACAAGGCGCAAAAAAUAAUUAAAAAGGGAAUGCAAGACGAGGACUUCCCAGGAGGUCACCCAUCCUAGUAGUACUCUCGCCCAAGCACGCUUAGCUUCGGAGUUCUGAUGGGAUCCGGUGCUUUAGUGCUGGUAUGAUCGCAUCCGACAUGUUUCCCCGUCUUCGUCCCUUAUACUUGCCACUCCUAGGUCCGCUCCAAAGACGAUUCUACAUUCUCACUACCAUUACAACCGUUCCCUAACAAUGGAUAAUGUCCUAUACUACUUACUCUCCCGCUCAAUCACGGAGACGAGUUUUCCACGGUUUCCACCCCUCCCUCCAUAACGCAGCAACACGAGUUUUUUCACCCCUUUCAGAACGCGCUCUUCGUGCCACAAAGCCGCCCCAAGACGCGCGAGCAAUGAGCAUCGAGCUUAAACAUAUCGCAAACGUCAAAAAUAAUAUAACGGGAUUAAUAUAUAUCGCACACGUGCGAUAUGUUUGUCACAAGGCGCAAAAAAGAAUUAAAAAGGGAAUGCAACAUGAGGACUUCCCAGGAGGUCACCCAUGCUAGUACUACUCUCGCCCAAGCACGCUUAACUUCGGAGUUCUGAUGGGAUCCGGUGCUUUAGUGCUGGUAUGAUCGCAUCCGACAUGUUUCCCCGUCUUCGUCCCUUAUGCUUGCCAUUCCCAGGUCCGCUCCAAAGACGAUUCUACAUUCUCACUACCAUUACAACCGUUACCUAACAAUGGAUAAUGUCCUAUACUACUUACUCUCCCGCUCAAUCACGGAGACGAUUUUUCCACGGUUUCCACCCCUCCCUCCAUACCGCAGCAACACGAGUUUUUUCCACCCCUUUCAGAACGCACUCUUCGCGCCACAAAGCCACCCAAGACGCGCGAGCAAUGAGCAUCGAGCUUAAACAUAUCGCAAACAUCAAAAAUAAUAUAACGGGAUUAAUAUAUAUCGCGCACGUGCGAUAUGUUUGUCCCAAGGCGCAAAAAAUAAUUAAAAAGGGAAUGCAACACGAGGACUUCCCAGGAGGUCACCCAUCCUAGUACUACUCUCGCCCAAGCACGCUUAGCUUCGGAGUUCUGAUGGGAUCCGGUGCUUUAGUGCUGGUAUGAUCGCAUCCGACAUGUUUCCCCAUCUUCGUCCCUUAUGCUUGCCACUCCCAGGUCCGCUCCAAAGACGAUUCUACAUUCUCACUACCAUUACAACCCUUCCCUAACAAUGGAUAAUGUCCUAUACUACUUACUCUCCCGCUCAAUCACGGAGACGAGUUUUCCACNNNNNNNNNNNNNNNNNNNNNNNNNNNNNNNNNNNNNNNNNNNNNNNNNNNNNNNNNNNNNNNNNNNNNNNNNNNNNNNNNNNNNNNNNNNNNNNNNNNNNNNNNNNNNNNNNNNNNNNNNNNNNNNNNNNNNNNNNNNNNNNNNNNNNNNNNNNNNNNNNNNNNNNNNNNNNNNNNNNNNNNNNNNNNNNNNNNNNNNNNNNNNNNNNNNNNNNNNNNNNNNNNNNNNNNNNNNNNNNNNNNNNNNNNNNNNNNNNNNNNNNNNNNNNNNNNNNNNNNNNNNNNNNNNNNNNNNCGGUUUCCACCCCUAAAAGGGAAUGCAACACGAGGACUUCCCAGGAGGUCACCCAUCCUAGUACUACUCUCGCCCAAGCACGCUUAACUUUGGAGUUCUGAUGGGAUCCGAUGCUUUAGAGCUGGUAUGAUCGCAUCCGACAUGUUUCCCCGUCUUCGUCCCUUAUGCUUGUUACUCCCAGGUCCGCUCCAAAGACGAUUCUACAUUCUCACUACCAUUACAACCGUUCCCUAACAAUGGAUAAUGUCCUAUACUACUUACUCUCCCGCUCAAUCACGGAGACGAGUUUUCCACGGUUUCCACCCCUCCCUCCAUACCGCAGCAACACGAGUUUUUUCCACCCCUUUUAGAACGCGCUCUUUGCGCCACAAAGCCGCCAUAGGACGCGCGAGCAAUGAGCAUCGAGCUUAAACAUAUCGCAAACGUCAAAAAUAAUAUAACGGGAUUAAUAUAUAUUACGCAUGUGCGAUAUGUUUGUCACAAGGCGCAAAAAAUAAUUAAAAAGGGAAUGCAACAUGGGGAUUUCCCAGGAGGUCACCCAUCCUAGUACUGCUCUCGCCCAAGCACUCUUAACUUUGGAGUUCUGAUGGGAUCCGGUGCUUUAGUGCUGGUAUGAUCGCAUCCGACAUGUUUCCCCGUCUUCGUGCCGUAUGCUUGCCACUCUCAGGUCCGCUCCAAAGACGAUUCUACAUUCUCACUACCAUUACAACCGUUCCCUAACAAUGGACAAUGUCCUAUACUACUUACUCUCCCGCUCAAUCACGGAGAUGAGUUUUCCACGGUUUCCACCCCUCCCUCCAUACCGCAGCAACACGAGUUUUUUCCACCCCUUUCAGAACGCGCUCUUCGCGCCACAAAGCCGCCCCAAGACGCGUGAGCAAUGAGCAUCGAGCUUAAACAUAUCGCAAACGUCAAAAAUAAUAUAACGGGAUUAAUAUAUAUCGCGCACGCGCGAUAUGUUUGUCACAAGGCGCAACAAAUAAUUAAAAAGGAAAUGCAACACGAGGACUUCCCAAGAGGUCACCCAUCCUAGUACUACUCUCGCCCAAGCACGCUUAACUUCGGAGUUUUGAUGGGAUCCAGUGCUUUAGUGCUUGUAUGAUCGCAUCCGACAUGUUUCCCCGUCUUCGUCCCUUAUGCUUGCCAUUCCCAGGUCCGCUCCAAAGACGAUUCUACAUUCUCACUACCAUUACAACCGUUACCUAACAAUGGAUAAUGUCCUAUACUACUUACUCUCCCGCUCAAUCACGGAGACGAGUUUUCCACGGUUUCCACCCCUCCCUCCAUACUGCAGCAACACGAGUUUUUCCACCCCUUUCAGAACGCGCUCUUCGCGCCACAAAGCCACCCCAAGACGCGCGGGCAAUGAGCAUUGAGCUUAAACAUAUCGCAAACGUCAAAAAUAAUAUAACGGGAUUAAUAUAUAUCGCGCACGUGAGAUAUGUUUGUCACAAGGCGCAAAAAAUAAUUAAAAAGGGAAUGCAACACGAGGACUUCCCAGGAGGUCACCCAUCCUAGUACUACUCUCGCCCAAGCACGCUUAGCUUCGGAGUUCUGAUGGGAUCCGGUGCUUUAGUGCUGGUAUGAUCGCAUCCGACAUGUUUCCCCAUCUUCGUCCCUUAUGCUUGCCACUCCCAGGUCCGCUCCAAUAUGAUUCUACAUUCUCACUACCAUUACAACCGUUCCCUAACAAUGGAUAAUGUCCUAUACUACUUACUCUCCCGCUCAAUCACGGAGACGAGUUUUCCACGGUUUCCACCCCUCCCUCCAUACCGCAGCAACACGAGUUUUUUCCACCUCUUUCAAAACGCGCUCUUCGUGCCACAAAGCCGCCCCAAGACGAGCGAGCAAUGAGCAUCGAGCUUAAACAUAUCGCAAAUGUCAAAAAUAAUAUAACGGGAUUAAUAUAUAUCGCGCACGUGCGAUAUGUUUGUCACAAGGCGCAAAAAAUAAUUAAAAAGGGAAUGCAACAUGAGGACUUCCUAGGAGGUCACCCAUGCUAGUACUACUCUCGCCCAAGCACGCUUAACUUCGGAGUUCUGAUGGGAUCCGGUGCUUUAGUGCUGGUAUGAUCACAUCCGACAUGUUUCCCCGUCUUUGUCCCUUAUGCUUGCAACUCCCAGGUCCGCUCCAAAGACGAUUCUACAUUCUCACUACCAUUACAACUGUUCCCUAACAAUGGAUAAUGUCCUAUACUACUUACUCUCACGCUCAAUCACAGAGACGGGUUUUCCAUGGUUUCCACCCCUCCCUCCAUACCGCAGCAACACGAGUUUUUUCCACUCCUUUCAGAACGCGCUCUUCGCGCCACAAAGCCGCCCCAAGACGCGCGAGCAAUGAGCAUCGAGCUUAAACAUGUCGCAAACGUCAAAAAUAAUAUAACGGGAUUAAUAUAUAUCGCGCAUGUGCGAUAUGUUUGUCACAAGGCGCAAAAAAUAAUUAAAAAGGGAAUGCAACACGAGGACUUCCCAGG
RNAcentral lists this long non-coding RNA (15921 nucleotides) under Triticum aestivum (bread wheat). RNAcentral describes it as "long non-coding RNA (TAES_LNC006766)". The record is from RNAcentral. Lineage: Eukaryota; Viridiplantae; Streptophyta; Magnoliopsida; Poales; Poaceae.